AUACAGAGGGUGCGAGCGUUAAUCGGAUUUACUGGGCGUAAAGCGCGCGUAGGUGGCUAAUUAAGUCAAAUGUGAAAUCCCCGAGCUUAACUUGGGAAUUGCAUUCGAUACUGGUUGGCUAGAGUAUGGGAGAGGAUGGUAGACUUCCUGGUGUAGCGGUAAAAUGCGUAGAUAUCAGGAGGAAUACCGGUGGCGAAGGCGGUCAUCUGGCUCAUUAUUGACGCUGAAGCACGAAAGCGUAGGUAGCGAACAGGAUUAGAUACCCUGGUAGUCUACGCUGUAAACGAUGUAUGCUUGGUGUUAUGCGUUUAUGCGCGUAGUGCCGUAGGAAAUCUGGUAAGCAUACCACCUGGGGAGUACGAAUGCAAGUUUGAAACUCAAAGGAAUUGACGGGG
Molecule: ribosomal RNA, 395 nt
Filed under: uncultured bacterium
Lineage: Bacteria
Description: partial 16S ribosomal RNA
Rfam family: Bacterial small subunit ribosomal RNA
Source: RNAcentral